GUUAAAAUUUCUAGAUGAUAUCCAAACAUUUGCACAAAUAACUUGAGAUAUUUGUAUUAGAACAUGCACAUUUGUUCAGUAAGUGGUGCAAGAGCAGCAUGACCAUUCAAGACUGACAAUGCAGUCCAGCUCUGACUUUGUUAUCAGACAUCACACAAUCUGGAGCUCAGAUGAAGUGCAGACGCUGCUGCAUGAGCACCGAACUGCGGAAGGUCUCAGCUCGUCAGUUGGACUCCAGUAGGUCUGCCUCCUGGCCAAAGGGAUGCCGACUCGAUCGUGUUCAAAGUGUCUUGAGUUGGAGCGUUAAAAACCAGAAGGGACUAUCCUUGUCGAGGAUAUCUGCUGUCAUGUUAGCGGCGCAACAGUCUGAGCCAAAGGACCAACAGUUGGACAGAAGACAGAGUUCUGCUGCAGAGGAGCAUCUCAGUUGACUUUGGCUGAAGCAGCACGGCGGUGUGGAGGAGGACAGGAAGAAGACGGACCACAUUAGUGAGUGAGUAUUUCAGGAACAGUAGAUCAUCCCAUUUCUCAGGCUCUCAUUAGCCUCCUCCAUUACAUCACUGAAAAAGAGGUUAAAGACAUGAGGGGGAGGGGGGGCAGCUCGUAAAACACUGAGCACACAGUAAACAUGUCUGCCCUUAAGCAUGACAAUACCCCUACAGCGAGCGCUGCCUGACAUUAGCCAGAUAACCCCCCUCCCAUCUUCUGGCCCACGUGGUAGUUCCCAUCCUACAACGAGGCUUUCUCUGGAGACACCAGGGGAAUAGAUUAGUGCUCCUCUAACAUGGUAAGCUGUGUUUUGGUACGUGAAGCCACUUUGAGGCCAGACAAUGUUAAAAUCGUCGCUCACUCAGUCAUUCACAAGUGCUCGAGGACGUGCUGUGGUUUACCUCAGCUCACACACGAGCUCCUGUGGGAUUCCUGAGAGAAGAUGCGUAUGCUGGUGGGAACCACCUUCAGCAGCUCAGAGACUGGUUGUAGGACUUUAGUGUAGCCGGUGGCCACAAAAACUCAGGGUGACAGCAGUUGUUGGAUUGUAAACAUCACAAAGGUCGUGUUGGACUCAUGAGUUAGCUUGUGUAAGUGUGAAGAGCUGUCAUCAUAUAUAACUGACAAACUUCAGUGUAAUUACAAAGAGCACCAGGGUAUUAUGACACUUGUCUGUUAGCAGCCAUGUAGAUGCACCUCUGCAGGAAUGGUCUGGUGAUGUCACCAACACCACGACAGCUGUAGGGUCAAAUGUGAGACUACAAGGAACAGAACGGUAGCAACAUGAAUGUCUGCAAAUGCACAAAAUAAAUAAAUCUAGAACACAAACUCUUGACGUACACAUGAAUUCAGUCAGACGUUAUUAGCCAUUUUCUUGACUGAGUUUACUGUAGGGAUAUUCAAUAAACAGUCCAAACUGAUACUUAACAUGUUUAACAUGAGGUAUCUGAACCAUAACAGAGGGAUUUACAUGUCAAUGGUGGAAACAAAACCCAAUGCACACUGCUGCCAACUAGCAGUCGGCGUUUGAAUUGCACCAAAAGAAAAGAAAAUACACAAAUGUUAGCAUGUAAGUUCUUCCAAAAAUUAGAUAUAUGGCUUUCGAAUAUCGCAGGAAAACUUAUCACGAUAUAUUGCCAUAUCGAUGUUUUCUCACAUCCCUAGGUGACGACAUGCAGCCUUUCAUGUCAGUAUUCUUCUGGUUAGCUUAUAGCAACACAAUAGUAAACAUACGCUGGAAGGAGGGAGUACGGUCAGAAUAUGAACAAUGACCGAAGGAAUUAAGAACAACGUGGCAGCACAGCUUAUCUGGUGCAUACAGUACUGUCUGAUGGUAUUAUCAGAGGUCCACUUUUGCGGUCUCAUUACUUCCUGAAGGUGAGUGUCCAACCGGUCCCAGCUAGACGGAGCCGUUUACAUGCUGAUGAAGUCUGAUUCCAACCACGUUAUCUGGGUACUUCAGCUUGAUCUGAACCAGUUCGACUUCAGCCAGUCUAACGUGUUUACAUGCAUUUAAAAAAAAAACAACGCGAGUCUGUUUAAGGCGAUUCUUGGUUUACUGUAGCCCACACAAUAUCAUUUAUCUGUGGAGGAAAUAUAUUUAAUGAUCCUGGGCCUGGUACAUUACAAAGGUGUAUAAAAAGUGUUUUCUUCCACUUGCAUCCUACAAGUACCAACGGGUGUCCAUCUGACUUCUGCAGCUCAGGAGCUCAGAGCGAGAGCUGACCACAUGGACUGAUCCUGUCAGCUUUGGACCAAUCACUCUGGAGGUAAUAGUCUAACUAUGUGGACCUCAGAGAUAAAAGCUACUCUGACACAGAUGACUGAAAACAACCUAACGUGUCAAAUAAGAAGCAGCACGAGCAACAGCUGUAGCCAGAGUUGGAUCUUUCUGAUGUGCAACACUACUGAUGAGAUAAGAGUGUAAACAUCAGUUUGGAUUUAUUUUAGCAUGAAUCUCUGUUUCAUGUGAGAACCUACAACAGUAGCAGGCGGGCUCUUCUCACUGAAACCCUGACCUGUGACAGGUAAACACAGAUAUGUAGACACGUAACACACACAUUUACUUACACACACGGUCACCAGCUGUAUAUUUCAGAGACGUGAGAUGUGGUCAUACGUAGAAGAAUGUCAGAGGAGCUGACAGUGCCCUGAGAAAUGUAGUUAUACGGUGGAAGAGGGAUCAAGUUCUUAACCCCUACGCUGACCUCCUGGUAAAGACAACAAGCAGCUCCUGAUCUCUGUGGCAUGCCGCCUCUAGACCCCGGUGUGUCUUUGUGGAUGGGUGUGUGGCUUCCCCAGCUUCAGUGCUGUGUGUGCUAGGGUUGUCACGGUAUGAAAAUUUAACCUCACGGUUAUUGUGACCAAAAUUAUCACGGUUUUCGGUAUUAUCGCGGUAUUUUUUUAACGGUGUUGCAUAUGUUCAGAAAGCAUUGAUAGUCCUGUUCUACACAAACUGAAAUAGUUUUGAAAAGGUUUAACAAUGUUUAUUAAACCUAGAAUAACACAAAGCCUUAGCAAAAGUGCAACUUUUCACAAGUAAAGGAACAAAUAGCUUAUUUUUCUGGAACAUGUUACAGUAGUCAGUGCAGGUUUAAAUGAUACAAAUCCAAACAUUCAAAACAUAAACAAUAUGUAAACAAAUCAAAGAAACACCACUUGUUUUCUCAUAUACUUGUUUUCUUCAUUAUCAAAAUGAAAAUCUAAAACUCCAGUCCACACUUGACUUGAGCACUGUACAAGUCAACCUUAAAAAAUAUGUAUUUAAAAUAAAUAGCCACUUUAAACAAAUUACUAAAAUAACUACUACACUAUGUAAUCAAAUCCAAAUGUUCAAGUAUAAAUGGCAUUGAAUAAGUAAACAAAUCAAUGACAAGGAACUAAUUGUAUAUUUCUCUUCUUCAUCAACAAAGAAGAUGCUUCAUCCAGCAACAGGGUGUCCGUGACACGGUUUAAAUGCUGGCAGAGGACGCUGCGGCUGCAGUAUAUAGUGACUCGUUGUAUUCUCCCUCAACCAAAAGUCCUCACGUCAUGCAUUUCAGCUAAAAUGCUCAUGUUAACUUACCUUGCACUGGCUGUAGAGACAUGGGUGAUGGUCACGCAGAUGUGCCAUUAGAUUCGAAGUGUUGCUGCCUUUUGCAGACACUUGUUUCCUGCACGUUCUGCAAACGGGAUAGCAGUCUUCUACUAACUGUCCCUCAGCAUUUUUCAGAAAUCCAAAAUAUGCCCAUACUUCCGAUUUAGUCUUCUUUGAGGGCUGAUGGAUGUCCUGGGCGCUGCCGUCUCCUCCUUCGGCCAUUAUUUCAGCUUCAAAGUUUUGGUGCCGUUGUCGGUACAGGAUCUGCUCGGGUGCAAGAUCGGCUCGGGGUCCUUCGACUGCCGAUGACGUCAAAGUACGGCAAACCCACUCGGACAAAAUAAACUAUACAUCUAUACUGUUGGAAAGAAUUUAGCAGUUUCGUUAUUAAAAUAAUGUUUCUUAAGACGUAAGUUUGUGUUUAUAAUGGUAUUUGUAAAAUAAAACACUAUAUUUUAUUCAUAAUGUUGAACUCCUCUUUGAGCACAUCCCUUGAAGAAUCAUAGGUAUUAGCAACACCUGUGAAAUUGUAUUUGCAGGAAAGAAGUGUGUCCCGUUUAUUGAAGUACUUUGUGUUUAGAGUUUUUGACGUCUUGUCCAUGCGUAGUUCAGUUAUGCUCAUAGCUGCUAGCCAAAACUCUGGAGUUAAAAGUUUUCUGGCUAUACUAAAAUACCUGUCUGUACUUAUUUAAUUGAUGGUAGUUUUACUUUCUAUUAGACUCCAAAUGUAGUCAUUUGGCACAUUUCUAAUUCAUAAUUUGUAAUAAUGUAAUCGGCGAUAUUAGCAUUAGCAUUCCUAUGGGUUUUUCCAUGUAUAUUAGCAUUGCGCUAACCACUCGCUGCCAAAUUGCAGCCUUUGCGAUUAGAAAAUCUCCUUUUGUCACAUCGCAAUUUAAUUGCACAUGCAGUUAAUCGUUCAGCCCUAAUAUACAUGCAGCUCUAUGCUAAAAGUGUAUUUUCAAAGAGGUAAUGAUGGAUUUCUUUGUAAAAGUUGUCCAUCUUUCCAACAGAAAGAUUUGCCUGGACCAACGUAACGUGAUUGCGUAAUUCCGUAAGGUUCAUGUUCAGCCAAUCAACUACUUAGACGUCAUCGGCAGUCGACGGGCCCCGAGCCAAUUUUGCACCCGAGCAGAUCUUGUACCGACACCGUUGCAAACUAAAAAGUGUGUGUGCGUGCCGCGGGAACUUCAGCUGAAGCGACGGUGGCUGGUAAGGGUCACCGCGCUGAAACCGCAGCCACGGUAAACCCACCGAGAUAAUUUAGUUUUUUAAAAACUGGACAGUUAUUUUUAUUGUCAACUUUUUUACCGGGGUUUACCGCUAUACCGGUUACCGUGACAACCCUAGUGUGUGCUGUAUAGGUAGACACUCUCUAAAAAACAGCGAUGAAUUAUGACCUUCCCACCAGCAGAACGAAUGAACCAGGCUGCAGCCUGAUGCAGUUUUUCUAUCGUCACCAAUAUUUUUUAUUUUAUUUCAUCAUCAGCCACGCAACUCUCCUCGCAACAACAAAAACAAGCUGCCGCCUCACGCAGCAGUGCAGUCCUUUACAGCGAGAGUGCUUUAAUGGCCUCUCCAGAUUGAGCCCUAAUUAGCUGUUAAUCAUUUAAGGCUCAUAACCAGAGCGGAGACAGCCGGCAUGUGUGUGUUUGUUAGCAAAGCGCGCAUUAGAGUGUGUUGGCGCGCCCCGUCCUGCUGUCUGUCCUCGUGUUGUGAAGCCAUUAGGAGCAGAAUUGCUAAAGAGAGCCAAACAGCCCAUUAACUCCUCCACUCUGCCUCUCUUCUCUCCACCGGGCUCAUCUCUCUCCCCAACAGCGCCACAGUUGCCAGCUGACACCCUCUAAUGUCAGCUAUCUGUCAUGACCACGGACCUGUCCACCCACACAACCCUCCCAACACUCGUCCUCGGCCAGGGCCGUCUGCAUUCUGUGGUAAAAAGGUUAAAAUACCAGGAUAAAGUCUAGUGUGACAGACUGCUUCUGAUGGGACACACAACCAUCUGUGGGCACUAGUGUUACAUGAAUGAGCGAUUUGCGUGACUUUACUAUUUUAUAAGUUUUACGGGGCUAGUGCAUCGGUGAUCUGUGUGAUGGAGUAUUUAAUAUUCAGUAAUGAAGCCUACUGCCGUUUAGAGCUGGUUUCUGAUCAGCUACGCCUGCUUUGGCUGCAUGUUAGAUCAAUAGAUCAGCCGACUAAAUGUCAAGAACGAAGUAGCCAAUGGGAAUUCUUCAGCAUACCAAACUUCAAGUAGACCAGGGUGGUCACUCCUGGUCCUCUAGGGCCACUAUCCAGCAUGUUUUAGUUGUUUUUCUGCUCCAACACACCUGAUUCCUGGAUAAAUCACCUGUUCAGCAGCUCAUCAGGCUCUGCAACAUCCUGUUAAUCACCAGCAGAUUCAAACCAGGUGUGUUUAAGCAGCGAAACAACUAAAACCUGCUGGAUAGCAGCCCUCGAGGACCAGGACUGCCCACCCCUGGUGUAUCUGAAUCAGUUCAAGGUUUACUGAACAUGAGUAACGCGUGUUAUUUUUGAAAGAAAAUAGACGGAUUAACGUUUGCAUCUGAAAAAGCCACACGGAUCUACCUCAGAGUGAAUAAGUCUUCAUGGAAUUACCCGUCGUGGCUCGCCAACGCAGAAGGCUGUGUAGUUACUGCCAUCAGCAGACAGUUGAGCACGUCUCGGCUAGUAGAAGCUAACAGUUAGCACUAGUAGAAGCUAACAGUUAGCACUAGUAGAAGCUAACAGUUAGCACUAGCACCUCCACAACAUGGCAGAACACAUUUAAGCUCGUAAUACUUGUAGAGAUGGAACAUCAACGUUGCAUUUUUUACCCCAGAAACAAAGAAUGAACGAACGGAGGCUGCCAGUUAGCCAAUCAGUGGUGAGUGUUUUGCACAUCAUGAAUAUUAAUGAGCAAAACUCCAAAUCCUGUUUUAAGUCUGUUUGACUCCUUGUACAUAUUACAUAUGAGAACAGUCUAAAUGUUUUUAUCUUGUUUGUUUUUAUCGUAUCUAAUAAGUUUGCUCUUUGGUGCAAAGCUGCUCAUGUCUACUGCUGCCUCUUGGUCAGAUCGUAUUUAUAAAUAUAAAACAUGUCAUUUACAACAUGAAUUUGUUUCACUGCAGCUAAUUGUUCACAUUUUAAAUUCUCCACAAAUAAGGACUAAUUAUUUAUUCAUCUUAGCAUGAAAACAAAACAAAAACCUGUUUAGUCCAUAGAAGCAGCAUGCUUCCCAAUCACACACUGGCCCACAACACUGACAGCCAGAAACUGAGAGGCAGUGUGUGAUUGAUGACAGAGGCAUGGUCAUAUCAGCAGGCUGGUUAGCAGAACCCAACAGAGGACCGAGCAGGUCACAGAGCACACCCAGCCUCAUCAGCACUCAUUAGAAAUGUGGGCGCACAUCACACCCCAAACUGCAAAUCCUGCCACCCCAAAAACCCAACCAGGAAAACACGGUCUCUAACAUGGAAGCUGCAAUAACUUUGCUGUUUAUUCAGUUGUAACUGUACUCUGUUUAUGCACACCGGUGGGGUCAAAUAAAAGCUUCAAAUGCUGAUAAAAGCAACUUUAACCCAAAUGUAGCGUCCAGCAAUGGUCAGUUUAGGCACGGUUUGACCUUUCACCAUCGAUUCAACAUCUGGUCAGAAAGUGUUCCCUUUAAAUGAGUCUGACUUCACACCAGCUGGGAUUCACGGACGCUGCUAGUCUGAAUGAUAAACAAUAACUUUCUUUCCCCAAGGUCUCAUCUGUCUGCCUCCAGAAGGAAGAACUCCAGUUCGAAUUUAUUAUUAAAUUCAAGAAUGAUUUAAUAAAUCAAUAUGAACUCCUUCUAUGACUUAUAAUCUAGAUAAUCAUUAAAUAAACAUUUGUUUGUUACUACUUAUAAUAAUUAUGGUAUAAUGAAAUGCUUCAUUAAUCUGUGCACACUGAAUGGAUGUUAUAUGAUGUUGUCUACUAGGACCUGCCAUGUGUUCACCAUGUUUCGACGACAAGGUCCCACACCUGCAUCCUCACAUAACACGUACGGCUAAGUUAAACCCGGACACAUCUCUCAAACUUGUCAGCCUCUGAUUGGCUGUCCAAAUCAUAACAGCUAAGCUAGAACAGUCUGAGAGAUUCGACAGUUCUAGAGAAUCGCUCAGACCGGCCAUCUGUAGCCAAACCUCUUUAACCAUCAACGAUUCUGACACGUCGUCAAAACCUGUUUGCACCUGAUGAGCGAACGGUUCCUGCAGAACAAGCUGAUAAUGUUUAGACUCCUUAAGAGUCCCAGAUGCUCGGUUCCAUCCGUCUGUCGUGACCCGAGACAUCUCUGGAUUGAAAGCAUCGGUACCACGGUAUUCUACAGCCCUCCGGUGCCAGCGGUCAUCCGACCUCUCUGACUGUCAGAUCCACCAGAGGGUCUCUGAAUACGGGUGAUGUAGACACACAGAUCGCGUCUGAUGUGCUUCUGAUGAUAACAACUUUAUAGCUCAGAGCUAACCAGAACUCAGCUUAUUUUGAUAAGGAAGCUCUGAAUGAUAUCGCAUACACACAAAGGUUCCUUCAGCACGUUUAGAUACAUCCACUCACAGUAAAUGCUUAAUUCAUUAGUCAUGUUUUAAAUUGUUUGUAAAAUAAAUUCUUUCUUUUAUAAACUUGACUCUUUCUUGAAGUAACACAAAGUGUGGUUCAUCACUGAAAAAGCAAAGAACCUAGAUCUUCUGAAUUAAAUCCUAGAAUCUUCUGAAUAAUUACAAUAAAGUCCUCGCAGGUUAAUAUUUUAUAUUUAUAUUGUUACAUCUUCGUGGUCAUAACAAAUGAAACCAUCAAUUUGCCUCCGCUACACAAACAUAACUAGGCUCUGGCCUUUUGACCUACAGAAGUAGCACAGCACUUCCAAGAGUUGCCUCAGUUCCCUUGCCUCGAAACCGGACAACGUUACACACACACACACACACAUACACACACACUGAAUAAUUCUACUUUGGACUCAGCGGACAGGAGACAGCAAUCUGAGCAGAGACGAGGACCUGGACAGGAAUGUUGAGCACUGUUGGAUCACUUUGCCAACUAAGCAACUGGAGAGUCAGGUAACAGGAAGGGCUGAUACCAUCAAAAAGUCACCGUCGCUCCAGAUUAGUUCAACGUGAAGGAGAAAGACUUUGGCCUGAGGUGCCCCUACCUG
This is a non-coding RNA of Nothobranchius furzeri (turquoise killifish), 8735 nucleotides long. The record is from RefSeq and is a predicted model, not a curated record. Lineage: Eukaryota; Metazoa; Chordata; Actinopteri; Cyprinodontiformes; Nothobranchiidae.